Molecule: unclassified non-coding RNA, 83 nt
Filed under: Pseudomonas sp. A214
Lineage: Bacteria; Pseudomonadati; Pseudomonadota; Gammaproteobacteria; Pseudomonadales; Pseudomonadaceae
Source: RNAcentral
GUGGAUCACCCAGUGGCGGGGCAGGGCGCUGAUGCCGGUUAUGGAUAUCCCGGUUUCUGAAACCCCGCCAGUGGGUGACCAUG